GACGAACGCUGGCGGCGUGCCUAAUACAUGCAAGUCGAACGCAUUUUCUUUCACCGUAGCUUGCUACACCGAAAGAAAAUGAGUGGCGAACGGGUGAGUAACACGUGGGUAACCUGCCCAUCAGCGGGGGAUAACACUUGGAAACAGGUGCUAAUACCGCAUAAUUCCAUUUACCGCAUGGUAGAUGGAUGAAAGGCGCUUUUGCGUCACUGAUGGAUGGACCCGCGGUGCAUUAGCUAGUUGGUGGGGUAACGGCCUACCAAGGCUGCGAUGCAUAGCCGACCUGAGAGGGUGAUCGGCCACACUGGGACUGAGACACGGCCCAGACUCCUACGGGAGGCAGCAGUUGGGAAUCUUCGGCAAUGGACGCAAGUCUGACCGAGCAACGCCGCGUGAGUGAAGAAGGUUUUCGGAUCGUAAAACUCUGUUGUUAGAGAAGAACAAGGAUGAGAGUGGAAAGUUCAUCCCUUGACGGUAUCUAACCAGAAAGCCACGGCUAACUACGUG
This 507-nucleotide ribosomal RNA is filed under the name uncultured bacterium. RNAcentral describes it as "partial 16S ribosomal RNA". It matches the Rfam family "Bacterial small subunit ribosomal RNA", at positions 28 to 507 of the family's 1533-position model. The record is from RNAcentral.